This 480-nucleotide ribosomal RNA is filed under the name Syzygium polypetaloideum. RNAcentral's name for it is "eukaryotic LSU rRNA". The stretch from base 5 to 158 matches the Rfam family "5.8S ribosomal RNA". The record is from RNAcentral. Lineage: Eukaryota; Viridiplantae; Streptophyta; Magnoliopsida; Myrtales; Myrtaceae.
UAACGACUCUCGGCAACGGAUAUCUCGGCUCUCGCAUCGAUGAAGAACGUAGCGAACUGCGAUACUUGGUGUGAAUUGCAGAAUCCCGUGAACCAUCGAGUCUUUGAACGCAAGUUGCGCCCGAAGCUUCGGCUGAGGGCACGUUUGCCUGGGUGUCACACAUGGCGUUGCCCCUAACCCCUCGCCUUGAAUUGGGCGGGCGGGACUUGGGUGCGUAUGUUGGCCUCCCGAGAUGACCUUAUCCCGGUUGGCCCAAAAUCGAGCGUUGGAGCGAUUAGCACCACGACAUUCGGUGGUUGAUGAGACCCCAAUGAUCAAUGUCGUGCGUGUCGCUCAUGCACAUGCUCCACGAAUCUACCUUUCACCAACGCGACCCCAGGUCAAGCGGGGCUACCCGCUGAGUUUAAGCAUAUCAAUAAGCGGAGGAAAAGAAACUAACAAGGAUUCCCCUAGUAACGGCGAGCGAACCGGGAAGAGCCC